UCCAUGACACGCAAUUCGUUAGAGGCAGAAUUUACGCUAUACUGUUUAUCGACAAUCGAACUCUCAACGUCGAUAUCAUUCGGAAAGUUUCUCGUAAGCUCCAUUGUCGUGAGUGUAAAGACCGGAGAUUGAUUGGAAAUACUAAAUAAUCUGGGUUCCAACAUAGAAAGAACGUGAGAAUAGACAAGCGAAGUUGAUUUACCAAUUCUUCUUUCCACCCAAUGGGUAAGCCUGGCAUUUUUUGAGAGGACAGAAAGUUUUCCUGAAUUUAUGCGAACAUGCGCGGAUAGAUCAGGUACAAGGAUGCUAUUAUCAUCGUCUAAUAUAUUAUUCAAAUCCGUUGAUACAGACGGAGCAGAGCCAACAGCACGUUUCCUUCUUUUUGUUGGAUGUGGUAUUGAUUCCUUUGGCUUCCUGGUAAGUCCUUGUAGUUCUGACAUAUCUGCUGCACGAAGCUCUAACAUUUCCAAGGCGACAGAAUCAUCAACCUCUCUAUUUUUUUUUAUUUCAGACACGUUUUCUGACUUUCUGCGAUCUAAGUGCUUGAUCCGGAGUUGCAUUUCCUGAUCUCCUACUGGUAUUAAAUGUCUCGGUUGCACUACUAGCAAAAACUUUUGGUAAAUCAAUUCCGUUAGAUUUUUCUGCAUCAUACGGCUUUCUUCAUCACUCCCAUCAACCUUUUUAUC
Non-coding RNA from Schizosaccharomyces pombe (fission yeast), 686 nucleotides. NCBI's taxonomy places the organism in Eukaryota, Fungi, Ascomycota, Schizosaccharomycetes, Schizosaccharomycetales, Schizosaccharomycetaceae. The record is from the annotation of a GenBank genome assembly.